This is an RNA transcript of Musa acuminata AAA Group (dessert banana), 2099 nucleotides long. RefSeq lists it as uncharacterized. The record is from RefSeq and is a predicted model, not a curated record. NCBI's taxonomy places the organism in Eukaryota, Viridiplantae, Streptophyta, Magnoliopsida, Zingiberales, Musaceae. The transcript is spliced from 18 exons.
AAGAUAAAAAUCGCGACAUCGGCUGUGAUGUGCCGCGCGACGUCACCGAGGAGGUAACGAACGGCGACAUGGCGGCCUCCGGUUCCGGGAUGGGCGAGUCCGAUUUCGCUGGCCCCCUCUCGGCUCCUCCUCCCACGACGACGGCGGCAGACGGAGAGCCGUCCGUCGAGAAGAAGGGCGAGCCCUCCCCCUCUUACCCCCCCGCCCGAUUGCCCUCCCGAAACGCUUCCUCCAAGUACGACUUCGUCAAGGUGAAAGUAUGGCUGGGGGACAAUGCGGAUCAUUACUACGUUCUGUCCAGAUUUCUUCUUAGCAGGAUGUUAACAGUAACGAAGAUUCCUAAUCAUGUGGCUAUCAAGAUUGCUCUUGAACUCAAAAAGCUGCUUGUAGACAAUAGCCUUCUUGAUGUUUCGCAAUCUGAUCUGGAAACUAAUCUUUUUAAGCUUAUGCUGCGAAGGGGUUAUGGAGAAGAGUACAUAAACCGUUAUAAGAUGAUGACCAGGUUUCAUCACCAAAGAGUACCACUAGUUAUUCUUGUAUGUGGAACUGCAUGUACUGGGAAAUCGACAAUUGCAACACAACUUGCUCAAAGACUAAAUUUACCAAAUGUCUUGCAGACAGAUAUGGUGUAUGAAUUAUUGCGCACAUCAACAGAUGCUCCAUUGACAUCUACACCAGUCUGGGUUCGAGAUUUUGAUUCAUCUGAAGAGCUUAUAACAGAGUUCUGCAGAGAAUGCAGAAUUGUUCGUAAAGGCUUGGCUGGUGAUCUGAAGAAGGCGAUGAAAGAUGGGAAGCCUAUCAUAAUUGAGGGUAUACACUUGGAUCCAAGUAUUUAUCUAAUGGAGGAGGAGAAUAAAGAUUCCCAUACAAAAGACAGAGAAUCAGGAACUUUGGUGGAGGAUUCUGCGAAACCAGUGGAAAAUAUACUAGAUAAUGCUACCGAACAGAGCCAGUCUGCAUCUGCAAGUGAUGCUGAGAAUACUAUGACCUACUCAGUAACUGAAGGAACUGUGGAUGAGAGGGAUGCUUCUCAAACUGAGGUUACCAAUUGCUCAAGAGCUACUAGUGUUGCAGAAAUUGCUUCUGGACCUCAAGGCGAAGUUCAUAAAGAUUCAGAGUUACAAAGUAGUAACUCUUACAAAAAAGAAAAAUCAGCUACCGAACCAAUAAUCGUACCAAUAGUUCUGAAGAUGUCUGAGUUUGAUCACAAGGCUCUGCUAGAGGAAUGGAUUACCACUAGAACAGUUAAAGAUAAAUGCCUAGUUCAGGACCAGAAUAAGCUUAUAAGCAAUCUCAAAAUUAUUCAGGAAUAUCUUUGCUCUUUUGAGUCACAGGGUAUGACUGUUGUAAACAUCUCUGCCACAACGUUCCCUCAAACAUUGGAUCGGCUCCAUAGCUAUCUUCUUCAGUGUAUCGAACAAGGUGUUUCUGCAGUAACUUCCAGAAGCAGCAGAUCAGAGAAGAAUUAAGGUAGUCAGAGCUAUAAAAUUUCAGUUGGCAGGGCCUCCCGUGAUGCUCCAUCACCCAGUGUCUUUAGUCUCGAGAGGCUUAGCGGCUGAGGCGUUUUCUUAGAUGGUUCUGCAUCCACAUGCAAGAAUUCUCCAGCAUCCAAUAUAUGCACUUUCUAUGAUACGUAGGGAACUGUAAUGUUAAUGAGACAUGGAAUUCUAGACGUCCGUUAUAGUGUGACAUGUCUUUUGAGCAUAUGGGUUCUCAAUAAUUCAGACUCCCUAUGUUUUGGAGGCAGCGAUCGGGGAUGUCGGAACUCACCUGCGAGGACAGCAUUGCUUCCAAUCGCGAUGCAGGGAGCAUCAAGAAGUAAGCCAUACGCGUCUCUGCCGUCUUAUUGGAGGAGCGCGAUGGGAAUCGUGGAGGAUCCACAUGUGGGACCAUCCCUGUUCCUGUGGGAAACGCGGGUACGUCGGCCGGUGAUGUUUCCUAUCCUCCAUGCAUCAGAAUGCGAGAAGAUACGGCUCACCAUCUCACCAAUGCCACAGGAGAUGUGUGGUCUACAAGUGUGGGCUCUUAAAGUGAUCCCGCCAUCAGGUUCAUUGCCUUCCCAACUCAUCUCCGCUCCCUGUUUAAGUACCGGCCAUGGC